GGAAAUUUGUUCUGUAAGGGGCCCCUCCCCUCUCUCACUGCUUCCUGGCUGCCAUGGGGUGAGCAGCUCUCCUCCACCAGGCCCUUUCACCAGGCUUCCUGCCUUGGAGCAGCAGACUAUGGACUGAAUCUUCUAAAAACAGAAAGGACUGGUGUCCCAGAGAAACCCCAGGACGACGUGGAUGUGAGAGAGCUACCUAUGGUGUGCGUUUGUGUGGAAAGAAAGAAGCACAGCAAAGCUACAAGAGGAAUGAGAAACACGUGAGGUGGUGGCAAGGCGAUCAUCCAGGUUGAUGACUACCCACCGUACGUGUACCAAAACACCACACUCGGACCCCAGAAAGGCGUGCAAGUAGUGCGCGCCAAUUAAAGAUACAAUUAUCAAAUUCCCAGAUCUAAAGAGCUCUAAAAUCCAGAGAUGUCCUCAAACCAUCCCGCAUCAAAACCUGCCCUGAAGUCUCACGAGUUCAUCCACA
This is a long non-coding RNA of Heterocephalus glaber (naked mole-rat), 475 nucleotides long. Lineage: Eukaryota; Metazoa; Chordata; Mammalia; Rodentia; Bathyergidae. The record is from Ensembl.